Molecule: transfer RNA, 77 nt
Filed under: Candidatus Hydrogenedentota bacterium
Lineage: Bacteria; Pseudomonadati; Candidatus Hydrogenedentota
Also listed under: 1 other name
Description: tRNA-Arg
Rfam family: tRNA
About the family: Transfer RNA (tRNA) molecules are approximately 80 nucleotides in length. Their secondary structure includes four short double-helical elements and three loops (D, anti-codon, and T loops).
Source: RNAcentral
GUACCCGUGGCUCAAUUGGAUAGAGCGUCUGGCUACGGACCAGAAGGUUGGGGGUUCGAGUCCCUCCGGGUACGCCA